AACAAACGCUGGCGGCGUGCCUAACACAUGCAAGUCGUACGAGAAAGUCGGCUUCGGCCGAUGAGUACAGUGGCGCACGGGUGAGUAACGCGUGGGUAAUCUGCCCCCCGGUCAGGAAUAACCCGCCGAAAGGCGGGCUAAUACCCGAUAACCCUGACGCUCUGCGGAGUGUCUUUCAAAGAAGGCCUCUGUUUACAAGCUUUCGCCGGAGGCUGAGCCCGCGUACCAUUAGCUAGUUGGCAGGGUAAUGGCCUACCAAGGCAACGAUGGUUAGCUGGUCUGAGAGGAUGGCCAGCCACACUGGAACUGAGACACGGUCCAGACUCCUACGGGAGGCAGCAGUGAGGAAUCUUGCGCAAUGGGGGAAACCCUGACGCAGCAACGCCGCGUGAGUGAAGAAGGCCUUCGGGUCGUAAAGCUCUGUCAGAUGGGAAGAAAUGGAUGGGGGCUAAUAUCGUCCAUCCUUGACGGUACCAUCAGAGGAAGCACCGGCUAACUCCGUGCCAGCCGCCGCGGUAA
This 519-nucleotide ribosomal RNA is filed under the name uncultured bacterium. Its description in RNAcentral is "partial 16S ribosomal RNA". It matches the Rfam family "Bacterial small subunit ribosomal RNA", at positions 29 to 523 of the family's 1533-position model. The record is from RNAcentral.